RNAcentral lists this unclassified non-coding RNA (299 nucleotides) under uncultured Entoloma. RNAcentral describes it as "sequence contains ITS2". The stretch from base 1 to 52 matches the Rfam family "5.8S ribosomal RNA", at positions 103 to 154 of the family's 154-position model. The record is from RNAcentral. Lineage: Eukaryota; Fungi; Basidiomycota; Agaricomycetes; Agaricales; Entolomataceae.
AACGCACCUUGCGCUCCUUGGUAUUCCGAGGAGCAUGCCUGUUUGAGUGUCAUGAAAUUCUCAACCUCUCUGGCUUUUAUUAGCUAGUUAGGAUUGGAUUGUGGAAGCUGCUGGUUUUGUUAGAAAUCAGCUCUUCUUAAAUAUAUUAGUGAAAUCUUUUGCAGACUAUCUCUGGUAUGAUAAUUAUCUAUACCAUUGAAAAGUAGCUCCCUAUGGGGGAGGGUUUUGCUUCUAAUAGUCCAUCUGGACAAACUUGACAAUUUGACCUCAAAUCAGGUAGGACUACCCGCUGAACUUAA